This is a long non-coding RNA of Oncorhynchus tshawytscha (Chinook salmon), 427 nucleotides long. The record is from Ensembl. NCBI's taxonomy places the organism in Eukaryota, Metazoa, Chordata, Actinopteri, Salmoniformes, Salmonidae.
GAGACACCAGGUGACCCUGAGCAGAGAGACACCAGGUGACCCUGAGCAGAGAGACACCAGGUGACCUUGAGCAGAGCGACACCAGGUGAUCCUGAGGAGAGAGACACCAGGUGACCCUGAGCAGAGAGACACCAGGUGACCUUGAGCAGAGAGACACCAGGUGAUCCUGAGGAGAGAGACACCAGGUGACCCUGAGGAGAGAGACGCCAGGUGACCCUGAGCAGAGAGACGCCAGGUGACCCUGAGCAGAGAGACGCCAGGUGACCCUGAGCAGAGAGACACCAGGUGAUCCUGAGCAGAGAGACACCAGGUGGUCCUGAGGAGAGAGACACCAGGUGAUCCUGAGCAGAGAGACACCAGGUGAUCCUGAGCAGAGAGACAUAUAUAAUUGCAUUUUUACUGUGUAUGUGCUUACGGUAUGCUGUUU